CUUCGUAACUUGUUCCAUCUUUAGACAAACUGAAAUGUCUUCAAUACCAAACUGCGUGUUCCUCGGUCAGUUGGUUGAAGAUCCCAUCCUCGUCGCCAAUAACUCUGUUGUGUUCUUGGGUUUGUAUUGAGACGCCAAAUCGUACAGUGAAACGCUGGAAUAGCGAAUGAAACGCUCGAAUAGCGAAUGAAAACUAAGGCGACCACACACGUAUAUAUAGGGCACUUAAUUGCGACAUAGCGACACAAAUAACUACAUAGCUACACAAUUAAUAAUGAAUCACGCUGACUGCGGCACAUUGCGCAGUGCAAAUCACGUGACUAAGGCAUGCAAGUGCGAACCACGCUGAUUGCGGCACAUUUCGCAGAUCACGUGGCUACGGCAUGCAAGUGCGCCCUUGUCGGGGGUGUGCCCGGAGGCGUGUCCACAACACCUCUUAACCGAAGAUAAAAUCUCUCGUGGGUAGUUCGUCGCUGUAGUGUUCGGACUGUCUGGAACGUGCACUUCUGGAGACGGAGCUUGCAGAAAAUGCUCUUCUUCCACCGGUUGUAAAUCAUCGUCGGAGCCGUAUCGAACGCGAAGUUGGUCGAUGUGACGGCGCCAGAUUGGACCUCGGGGAAAAACUUGUUUUAGGAACCCAGCGACCCUCGGUUUUCGCUCUUUGGAGCUGCACGGUAUAAAAUGGUGGCGCUGUUCUCGUUUAUGUUUGUUAUACUCACUCUAUGUUACGUCGCCUUUUUUUCUCCCGUUUUGUUCACUCGUGUAACCGUUUAGUUUGACCUUUUUAUGAGUGACGGGACGGCAGGCAGAUCCCUAUUUUAGCCACUCCAAUUCAUUGCAGUUACCGCUAUUAUGCUUUGGAAAAUAUAAGUUGAAGCCAGAA
Long non-coding RNA from Ciona intestinalis (vase tunicate), 883 nucleotides. RefSeq lists it as uncharacterized. The record is from RefSeq and is a predicted model, not a curated record. Lineage: Eukaryota; Metazoa; Chordata; Ascidiacea; Phlebobranchia; Cionidae.